AGAGUUUGAUCAUGGCUCAGGAUGAACGCUGGCGGCGUGCCUAACACAUGCAAGUCGAGCGGUAAGGCCUCUUCGGAGGUACACGAGCGGCGGACGGCUGAGUAACACGUAGGAACGUACCCCAAACUGAGGGAUAAGCACCAGAAAUGGUGUCUAAUACCGCAUGUGCUCUUCGGAGUAAAGCUACGGCGGUUUGGGAGCGGCCUGCGCAUGAUUAGCUUGUUGGUAAGGUAAUGGCUUACCAAGGCGACGAUCAUUAGCUGGUCUGAGAGGAUGAUCAGCCAGACUGGGACUGAGACACGGCCCAGACUCCUACGGGAGGCAGCAGUGGGGAAUCUUCCACAAUGGACGAAAGUCUGAUGGAGCAACGCCGCGUGCAGGAUGAAUGCCUUCGGGUUGUAAACUGCUUUUAUCUGUGAAGAUUAUGACGGUAGCAGAUGAAUAAGGAUCGGCUAACUCCGUGCCAGCAGCCGCGGUCAUACGGAGGAUCCAAGCGUUAUCCGGAAUUACUGGGCGUAAAGAGUUGCGUAGGUGGCAUCGUAAGUUGAUAGUGAAAGAGUCCGGCUCAACCGGAUAGACAUUAUCAAAACUGCGAAGCUAGAGGACGAGAGAGGUUAUUGGAAUUCCUAGUGUAGGAGUGAAAUCCGUAGAUAUUAGGAGGAACACCGAUGGCGUAGGCAGAUAACUGGCUCGUUCCUGACACUAAGGCACGAAAGCGUGGGGAGCAAACGGGAUUAGAUACCCUAGUAGUCC
Molecule: ribosomal RNA, 753 nt
Filed under: uncultured bacterium
Lineage: Bacteria
Description: bacterial SSU rRNA
Rfam family: Bacterial small subunit ribosomal RNA
Source: RNAcentral